RNAcentral lists this ribosomal RNA (999 nucleotides) under uncultured bacterium. Its description in RNAcentral is "bacterial SSU rRNA". It matches the Rfam family "Bacterial small subunit ribosomal RNA", at positions 76 to 1072 of the family's 1533-position model. The record is from RNAcentral.
GGGGCAACCCUGGUGGCGAGUGGCGAACGGGUGAGUAAUAUAUCGGAACGUGCCCAGUCGUGGGGGAUAACGUAGCGAAAGUUACACUAAUACCGCAUACGCUCUACGGAGGAAAGCGGGGGUCGCAAGACCUCGCACUACAGGAGCGGCCGAUAUCGGAUUAGCUAGUUGGCGGGGUAAAAGCCCACCAAGGCUACGAUCCGUAGCUGGUCUGAGAGGAUGAUCAGCCACACUGGAACUGAGACACGGUCCAGACUCCUACGGGAGGCAGCAGUGGGGAAUUUUGGACAAUGGGCGCAAGCCUGAUCCAGCCAUGCCGCGUGAGUGAAGAAGGCCUUCGGGUUGUAAAGCUCUUUCGGCAGGAACGAAAUGGUUCGUGCUAAUACCACGGACUGAUGACGGUACCUGAAGAAGAAGCACCGGCUAACUACGUGCCAGCAGCCGCGGUAAUACGUAGGGUGCAGGCGUUAAUCGGAAUUACUGGGCGUAAAGCGUGCGCAGGCGGUUUCUUAAGUCAGAUGUGAAAGCCCCGGGCUUAACCUGGGAACUGCGUUUGAAACUGGGAGACUUGAGUGUGGCAGAGGGGGGUGGAAUUCCACGUGUAGCAGUGAAAUGCGUAGAUAUGUGGAGGAACACCGAUGGCGAAGGCAGCCCCCCUGGGUUAACACUGACGCUCAUGCACGAAAGCGUGUGGAGCAAACAGGAUUAGAUACCCUGGUAGUCCACGCCCUACACUAUGUCAACUGGUUGUCGGGGGAUUAACUCCCUAGGUAACGAAGCUACGCGUGAAGUUGACCGCCUGGGGAGUACGCCGCAAGGUUAAAACUCAAGGAAUUGACGGGGACCCGCACAAGCGGUGGAUUAUGUGGAUUAAUUCGAUGCAACGUGAAAAUCUUACCUACCCUUGACAUGUACGGGAUCUCCCAGAGAUGGGAAAGUGCCCGAAAGGGAACCGUAACACACGUGCUGCAUGGCUGUCGUCAGCUUCGUGUCGUGAGA